RNAcentral lists this ribosomal RNA (408 nucleotides) under uncultured bacterium. RNAcentral's name for it is "partial 16S ribosomal RNA". It matches the Rfam family "Bacterial small subunit ribosomal RNA", at positions 28 to 526 of the family's 1533-position model. The record is from RNAcentral.
GACGAACGCUGGCGGCGUGCUUAACACAUGCAAGUCGAACGAAGUGGCGAACGGGUGAGUAACGCGUAAUCAACCUGCCCUUCAGUGGGGGACAACAGUUGGAAACGACUGCUAAUACCGCAUACUGAAGGCGGGGAUUGCGUCUGAUUAGCUAGUUGGAGGGGUAACGGCCCACAAAGGCGAUGAUCAGUAGCCGGUCUGGGAGGGUGAACGGCCACAAUGGGACUGGGACACGGGCCAGACGCCUACGGGAGGCAACAGUGGGGGAUCAUCCGCAAUGGACGGAAGUCUGACGGAGCAACGCCGCGUGGGUGAUGACGGCCUUCGGGUUGUAAAGCUCUGUUAAUCGGGACGCGGUACCGGAAUAGAAAGCCACGGCUAACUACGUGCCAGCCGCCGCGGUAAUAC